UUUGUGGUCAAGUAUGCCAUUUCCCACCUAUAAUCUGGUUUACAUGUAAUGAAUAUUUUAUUUCAACCUUUUAAAAUAUUCCAUUAAAUUUAAAUUUUUAUGUGUGAGGGGUUUGUUGAUUUUUCCGCUUGGGAUAGUUAUAUAUUUCUGAAGCAUUUUGUGGAGUAGGAGUGUCUCCGUAACCUGUUCCAAAUGUAUGCCCCUGCUCAACUACUCCCACAGCCCCUCUGUGGUAGGAGAAUCCUAAGGAAGCCUUCUGGACCCCACAGCUGUUCCUGGCAUCUGAACUGCAAACAGCCCUAGGGCUGAAGAAAAUCUGAUUAUGUUUUAGUGGAAGCUCCUAGAGUGGAGAAAUAAGACAU
RNAcentral lists this long non-coding RNA (362 nucleotides) under Bos taurus (domestic cattle). RNAcentral's name for it is "long non-coding RNA NONBTAT001347". The record is from RNAcentral. Lineage: Eukaryota; Metazoa; Chordata; Mammalia; Artiodactyla; Bovidae.